UACGGGAGGCAGCAGUGGGGAAUAUUGCACAAUGGGCGAAAGCCUGAUGCAGCUAUGCCGCGUGUAUGAAGAAGGCCUUAGGGUUGUAAAGUACUUUUCAUCGGGGAGGAAAAACAAAACUAAUAAUUUUAUUUCUUGACGUUACCCGAAAAAGAAGCACCGGCUAACUCCGUGCCAGCAGCCGCGGUAAUACGGAGGGUGCUAGCGUUAAUCAGAAUUACUGGGCGUAAAGAGCACGUAGGUGGUUUUUUUAAAGUCAGAUGUGAAAUCCCUGGGCUUAACCUAGGAACUGCAUUUUGAAACUGAAAUACUAGAGUAUCGUAGAGGGAGGUAGAAUUCUAGGUGUAGCGGUGAAAUGCGUAGAUAUCUGGAGGAAUACCUGUGGCGAAAGCGGCCUCCUAAACGAAUACUGACACUGAGGGUGCGAAAGCGUGGGGAGCGAAACAGGGAUUAGAUACC
RNAcentral lists this ribosomal RNA (459 nucleotides) under uncultured bacterium. RNAcentral's name for it is "bacterial SSU rRNA". It matches the Rfam family "Bacterial small subunit ribosomal RNA", at positions 340 to 786 of the family's 1533-position model. The record is from RNAcentral.